Oryza punctata is the source of this 195-nucleotide non-coding RNA. Lineage: Eukaryota; Viridiplantae; Streptophyta; Magnoliopsida; Poales; Poaceae. The record is from Rfam.
UUUAAGUGCAGUUGUAGUUUUCCGUAUAUAAAUGUUUGACCGUUCAUCUUAUCCGAAAGAUUUUUAUGAUUAGUAUUUUUGUUGUUAUUAGAUAAUAAAACAUAAAUAGUACUUUAUGUUUGAUUUCUUUUAUAAAUUUUUCAAAUAAGACGGACGGUCAAAGAUUGGACACGGAAAUUUACAACUGCACUUAAA